UUUAAACGUAAACAUCUUAAGUUUUCACAGUAUUUUCAUAAAAAUUAUAUUAUUUAUCCUUAUUGUGUUCCUGGGAAAUUAACAAGUGAUUUAUCCUUAUGUGUUCCUGGGAAAUUAACAAGUGGUUAUUAAAUCACCUUUGUAGUAAUAAAAAAAUAUUAAUGCAGAAGGAAGGAAAGUCCAACUUGUUAAAGUAGCAUUAAAGCCAAAACAAUACCCCAAGUCCUCAAUUCCUAGUCUAAGAGUCUCGGCAUUUGGAUUCAAGUCUUAUGUAUCUUGCUUUCUAAUCACUUCAAGUUUUUGGUUGUCCCUGAAAUUGUAUUGUUAUAACAGUUUAAGAUAAGAGCUUUUAGAAAAAUAACAAUGAAGAAUCCUUACCUAUUCCUUGGGGGGAAAAAAAUAUCUAAACGAUGACAUGAUUUUCAAAGACUAGAGAAUCAACUGUGUAGUCAAAACUUUAAAAUUUUUUAUUUGAUAUAGCCUAUUUGUAAAAAUGAACUUCACUGAUCCAUCCCAAUUCACUUAAACUCUCUAAUUAUUCAUAGGUUAAUUAAACAUCCAUGCCUUGGACAGUCCCUGUUUAUACCAGUUUUCUAGUGUAACGAAUAAUAGCACCCCUUCUACUUAAAAACAUUUAGUUUAGACAAUACGUUAUAUGAUCACACUGGGCAUUUGCCAGAUUCUGGUUAAAUGUGUGGAAAAAAAACAGAAUUGUGUCUUCCUCAUCCCUUCUGCCCGACUAUGUAUCUUCUCAUCGCCUGUAUGUAAUUUUGAAUACUACUAGAUAAGUCUUACUUAUAGAGGACAGAAGAAAAAAGUACACAGCAAUAGUCUGCUUAAACACCUUUUCAGGAAAUGGUGGCAAAAUUACAUCAUGUCAUUUGGUGAUAGUGC
RNAcentral lists this long non-coding RNA (894 nucleotides) under Marmota monax (woodchuck). The record is from RNAcentral. Lineage: Eukaryota; Metazoa; Chordata; Mammalia; Rodentia; Sciuridae.